AUUGAACGCUGGCGGCAGGCCUAACACAUGCAAGUCGAACGAGUGGCGGACGGGUGAGUAAUGUCUGGGAAACUGCCUGAUGGAGGGGGAUAACUACUGGAAACGGUAGCUAAUACCGCAUACCAUCGGAUGUGCCCAGAUGGGAUUAGCUAGUAGGUGGGGUAAAGGCUCACCUAGGCGACGAUCCCUAGCUGGUCUGAGGGGAUGACCGGCCACACUGGGACUGAGACAAGGUCCAGAACCCGACGGGAGGCAGCAGUGGGGAAUAUUUGACAAUGGGCGCAAUCCUUAUGCAGCCAUGCCGCGUGUAUGAAGAAGGCCUUCGGGUUUUAAAGUACUUUCAGCGGGGAGGCGUUACCCGCAGAAGAAGCACCGGCUAACUCCGUGCCAGCAGCCGCGGUAAUUC
Molecule: ribosomal RNA, 406 nt
Filed under: uncultured bacterium
Lineage: Bacteria
Description: partial 16S ribosomal RNA
Rfam family: Bacterial small subunit ribosomal RNA
Source: RNAcentral